GACGAACGCUGGCGGCGUGCUUAAUACAUGCAAGUCGAACGAACAGGCCCUGCUUUUGUGGGGUGCUCGAGUGGCGCACGGGGGUGUAAAACGUGAGUAAACUGUCCCUGACUUUGGGAUAACUUCAGGAAACAGGGGCUCAUAUCGGAUAGGAGCUCCUGAUGCACGGUGGGCGUUGGAAAGAUUCGGUGGUUCGGGCUGGAAUGGCGGGUUAUCAGCUUGUUUGUGUGGUAGUGGCUUACCAAGGCUUUGACGGGUAGCCGGCCUGGGAGGGGGACCGGCCACAUUGGGACUGAGAUACGGCCCAGACUCCUACGGGAGGCAGAAGUCGGGAGUAUUGCACAAUGGGGGGAAGCCUGAUGCAGCAACGCCGCGUGCGGAAUGACGGCCUUCGGGUGGUAAACCGCUUUCGCCUUUGACGAAGCGUGAGUGACGGUAAUGAGUAAAGAAGCACCGGCUAACUACGUG
RNAcentral lists this ribosomal RNA (468 nucleotides) under uncultured bacterium. RNAcentral's name for it is "partial 16S ribosomal RNA". It matches the Rfam family "Bacterial small subunit ribosomal RNA", at positions 28 to 507 of the family's 1533-position model. The record is from RNAcentral.